UGAACAUUUCUUUAUUCUGCUUUAUAGAAACUGGCCAAAUUUGAAGCAGAUAGUGACUACUCUGUGGAGAGACAGCUGAAGGGAAUGAUGUGGAAUAACGCUUUCCUGAGGCACACACUGGAUUAGGACCUUGGAAAGAGCUACUCUCUAACCUAAGGAGCAUUUCUCUGCAUUUUUUUUCUCUUUCGCACACGGUAGGCCUGAAGUCUACUUGAGAAGAACAGAUAUAAACCCAGCAUCUGGGUCAGACGCAAAGUUUCCCAACCUUGAUCUCAAAGGAGAAUUUCUGGACUCCGUGUUGCAAUAAAUAUGCAUAGAGUGGGUGCUGUGCAAAAACUUUGCCAUGGAUUAGCCCAUCUGCCCCCACCAUAGCCACAUCCUUCAGGAUAGACUCAUCUCACCGUUGUCCCUGUUCUGUAAUCUCCCUGGGAGCAAGGAAGGGAAAAAUAGAACACCACUAACAAUGGGUGAUUAAUGGUGGGAAUAAACCUAAAUCAAGACAAAAAAGCCAUGCAUAGGAUUUCACCAAAUGGUACUAGUCUGCUGCACUGCAGUGGAAUAUCAAACUCCCCAAUAUAGUAAACAACAUCUUCUCGAGGACAUACAAGCCACCAGAUAGAGAAACGCCCAUUACAGAGCUGUGGAGUCCUUAUGCUGUAGUGCUAUGCUGCCACAAAGUAGACACAAAGGAGUACUCGUUGAAUGAUAAAAGGUAUCAAUGAAUGAACAAAUGAACUAAUGAGCUGAUG
RNAcentral lists this long non-coding RNA (749 nucleotides) under Saimiri boliviensis boliviensis (Bolivian squirrel monkey). RNAcentral's name for it is "lncRNA (ENSSBOG00000036496.1)". The record is from RNAcentral. Lineage: Eukaryota; Metazoa; Chordata; Mammalia; Primates; Cebidae.